GCAAACGUUGUUCGGAAUCACUGGGCUUAAAGGGCGCGUAGGCGGGUCUCCAAGUCCGGGGUGAAAUCUUUCGGCUCAACCGGAAAAUCGCCUUGGAUACUGGAGGUCUGGAGGGAGGUAGGGGUCCGUGGAACUCAGGGUGGAGCGGUGAAAUGCGUAGAUAUCCUGAGGAACACCGGUGGCGAAAGCGACGGACUGGACCUUUUCUGACGCUGAGGCGCGAAAGCUAGGGGAGCAAACGGGAUUAGAUACCCCGGUAGUCCUAGCCCUAAACGAUGGGUACUGGAUUGUGGACUGACAUGGGUUCACAGUCGCAGCAAAAGUGUUAAGUACCCCGCCUGGGGAGUAUGGUCGCAAG
RNAcentral lists this ribosomal RNA (358 nucleotides) under uncultured bacterium. RNAcentral describes it as "bacterial SSU rRNA". It matches the Rfam family "Bacterial small subunit ribosomal RNA", at positions 534 to 892 of the family's 1533-position model. The record is from RNAcentral.